RNAcentral lists this transfer RNA (72 nucleotides) under Chloroflexota bacterium. Its description in RNAcentral is "Chloroflexi bacterium (hot springs metagenome) tRNA-Ile". It matches the Rfam family "tRNA". From Rfam's summary of the family: Transfer RNA (tRNA) molecules are approximately 80 nucleotides in length. Their secondary structure includes four short double-helical elements and three loops (D, anti-codon, and T loops). The record is from RNAcentral. Lineage: Bacteria; Bacillati; Chloroflexota.
GGGCGCAUAGCUCAAUGGCAGAGCUGACGGCUCAUAACUGUUAGGUUCCAGGUUCGAAUCCUGGUGCGCCCA